AGCCUGACCUCCACUUCUAACACUGUGCACUUGAUGGCGAGGUAAUGGAACUUUCGAGUGAAACUACCUUGCGGCUUCAUUUUAAACAUUAGUCAAAGUAUGUCAUGAAAUAAAAAACAAAAAAAAACUUUCAACAACGGAUCUCUUGGCUCUCGCAUCGAUGAAGAACGCAGCGAAAUGUGAUAAGUAAUGUGAAUUGCAGAAUUCAGUGAAUCAUCGAAUCUUUGAACGCACCUUGCGCUCCCUGGUAUUCCGGGGAGCAUGCCUGUUUGAGUGUCAUGAACUCUUCAACCCACCAGUUUCUAGUAGACUGCGUUGGUGUUUGGAUUUUGAGCGUUGCUAGUCUGACUAGCUCGUUCGUAAUAUAUUAGCAUCUCUAAUUCGAAUUCGGAUUGACUCAGUGUAAUAGACUAUUCGCUGAGGACACUUUUAUUAGUGGCCGUACUAGAACCAGUAGAAGCUUCCAACUAUUGUAGUCAACUUUAAUUUAGACCUCAGAUCAGGCAGGAUUACCCGCUGAACUUAAGCAUAUCAAUAAGCGGAGGAAAAG
RNAcentral lists this ribosomal RNA (550 nucleotides) under Phenoliferia glacialis. RNAcentral describes it as "eukaryotic LSU rRNA". The stretch from base 126 to 279 matches the Rfam family "5.8S ribosomal RNA". The record is from RNAcentral. Lineage: Eukaryota; Fungi; Basidiomycota; Microbotryomycetes; Kriegeriales; Kriegeriaceae.